ACACCUACUCCUCCUCCCACUCAGCUGUUCCAUGCCAGCUCCUCCUUUAAUCAACACCAUAGCGCUUGUUACAGCAUCACUGACUCUGGGCACAAGGUCUCCACUUCCUUUCACAUCCUAGUGGUCAUUUGUAGUAAGUUUCUACAAUAGAAGGACUGUAGAUUUCCAUGUUCCUGUUCACCCAGACGAGUAGUGACACUGAUAAUGUGACUUUGUAUGCAACCUGAGAAAUAUGUGCUAGCGUGGUGAAGAUGGUGAAGACGGCCGCAGAGAAAGGACACGGAGCGGUGGUCUUGGGUAGCUGGUCGGCUUGCUGUGAGACUUUGUUUACCGACUUUGAGGUAAGAAAAGUAAAAUUUCACAUGUAGAUUAUUGCUUGGCGAUAGCUCAUAUUAGUGGAGGUUAAAUGUUGUAACUUGCGUUGUCUAAACCAGCAGUUUCUGUAGUUUAAUUCGAUGUGUAAAAUCGAUGCUAGUUUCAAACACACAUGCGUCGUGACGGACCAGGGCGGAGUCGGUUAAAAUCAUAACGUUACACUCUUUA
Colossoma macropomum (tambaqui) is the source of this 543-nucleotide long non-coding RNA. RefSeq lists it as uncharacterized. The record is from RefSeq and is a predicted model, not a curated record. The transcript has 3 exons. Lineage: Eukaryota; Metazoa; Chordata; Actinopteri; Characiformes; Serrasalmidae.